GCUGGCACCUCCGGUGUCCGCGUUGUAAUCUCGAGACGUGUUUUCCGUGCGGCUCUAUGGACAAGUCCCUUGGAAUAGGGCAUCGUAGAGGGUGAGAAUCCCGUACUUGCCAUGGAAGAACCGUGCUUUGCGAUACACGCUCUAAGAGUCGAGUUGUUUGGGAUUGCAGCUCAAAAUGGGUGGUAGACUCCAUCUAAAGCUAAAUAUCGGGGAGAGACCGAUAGCGAACAAGUACCGUGAGGGAAAGAUGAAAAGCACUUUGGAAAGAGAGUUAAAAGUACGUGAAAUUGUCGAAAGGGAAGCACUUGAAGUCAGCCAUGCUGCUUGAGACUCAGCCUGGCCUUUGGGCUUGGUGUAUUUCUCGGUGGCAAGCCAGCAUUGGUUUGGGUCGUCGGAGAAGCGCAUAGGGAAUGUAGCGUCUCCGGACGUGUUAUAGCCUUAUGCAGGAUACGACGACCUGGAUCAAGGAACGCAGUGUGCCCUCU
Molecule: ribosomal RNA, 485 nt
Filed under: Malassezia globosa
Lineage: Eukaryota; Fungi; Basidiomycota; Malasseziomycetes; Malasseziales; Malasseziaceae
Description: partial large subunit ribosomal RNA
Rfam family: Eukaryotic large subunit ribosomal RNA
Source: RNAcentral